ACACCAGCACCUCAAGUUGUCAGGAGGAUUAUUGGGCCUAAAGCAUCCGUAGCCUGCUCUGUAAGUUUCCGGUUAAAUCCAUUAGCUCAACUGAUGGGCCGCCGGAAAAACUGCAAAGCUAGGGAGUGGGAGAGGUAGACGGUACUCGGUAGGAAGGGGUAAAAUCCUUUGAUCUAUUGAUGACCACCUGUGGCGAAGGCGGUCUACCAGAACACGUUCGACGGUGAGGGAUGAAAGCUGGGGGAGCAAACCGGAUUAGAUACCCGUGUAGUCC
RNAcentral lists this ribosomal RNA (274 nucleotides) under uncultured bacterium. RNAcentral describes it as "partial 16S ribosomal RNA". It matches the Rfam family "Archaeal small subunit ribosomal RNA", at positions 473 to 747 of the family's 1478-position model. The record is from RNAcentral.